CAGCCGAUGGUCCAAAGAGCUCGGCGUACACCAUGCCAAGGCUGAAGACGUCGCUCUAAAUUGAACAGAAAUCAAAUUCCAACACUUGGCCAAUGUAUGGAACCCUCAUGUGCUGCGUGAAUGCUAAGAUGAAAGUACCUUUACACCAUGUUUUUGCAUCAGCAGAAGCUCAGGUGACCCAUAUAGCCGUGUCCCAUACAAUUUUCCCCCAUGAGAACAUGAUUCUGAAGAAAUUAACCCACCUGACAAAAAUAGAUACAAUUAAAAUAAUAUUCAGUUGCACGAAUGUAAACAAUCUAGUUAUUAUACUUACUGUGUCCGAAAUCUCCA
RNAcentral lists this long non-coding RNA (330 nucleotides) under Setaria viridis. RNAcentral's name for it is "long non-coding RNA (SVIR_LNC001087)". Lineage: Eukaryota; Viridiplantae; Streptophyta; Magnoliopsida; Poales; Poaceae. The record is from RNAcentral.